Molecule: long non-coding RNA, 1069 nt
Organism: Lycium barbarum (goji berry)
Lineage: Eukaryota; Viridiplantae; Streptophyta; Magnoliopsida; Solanales; Solanaceae
Exons: 4
Source: RefSeq, a predicted model, not a curated record
AAGGGCCAAAAUUACCCCUGAACUUUGAAAAAUAGUUCAUUCAUGCCCUUCGUUAUACUUUAGGGCCAAUUAUACCCUUACCGUUAUACUUUGGGCCAAAUAUACCCUUGAGUAUAACGGCGUGCCACGUGUCAAAAUCUCAGUGGCCAACUUAUUUUCCCUCUUUUAUUUUUCAUCCGGAUGCCUACUCCUUCAGAUCCGACCCAAUUAAUUUAUUACCCAACCCGUAAAAUAACAUAUCAUACCCAAAUAAGCCAAACCUAACCCGUAUAACAUAUCUAUAACACCUCUCUCUCUCUCUCUAAAAAAAAAAAAACGCAGAUCGUCUUUGAUGAGUACCCUUUUGCUUAUACGCAGAUCGUCUUUGAUGAGUAUCCUUUUGCUUAUUUUGUGAUUUACUGUUUUUCUUAUAGAAAAUGAUCGUCUUCAAAUGGGUGAAGUAGUUUCCACUAUUCCAAUGAAGUCUUACAAUGUCCGAAAUUAGUUGUAAUUCAACGAAGAAGUGUCACUGUGGUGAAAUUGCUCAUUGUUUCACUUCGAAAAUACCUUCAAAUCCUGGUAGGAUAUUCUAUAAGUCUCCUAAACUUAAGGCUGAAAAUUGUGGUUUUUGGGAGUGGCAAGAUAAUUUUAUAGACAAUGCUUUAUUGGAAAUAAGUGAUGUGAAGGGUAAAUUGAAAGUGGCUACGGUGAAGAUGGACAAUUUAAGAGAGUCGUUGAAUGCGAUUAAGCUCGAAAGAGAAAACUUGAAGAAAAAGGUGCAUAACUUGGAGGCUAUAAAUAACUCUCAAGUGAGAAAAUCAAGGGAAUUGGAAGAGAAGAUGUUGAAGUUGAAAAUGUUGUUUAUGAUUUCAUUGUCCGUAUUAGUUGGAUUUUUUUGUCGCUAAUUUGGGAUGAAUUAUGCUUGGUCUAGUAAUAGAAGUGAAAGGCUUGUUUUGGUAGAUGACAUGUGUAGGAGUAGAAGUGUUUGUUUAGGAGUUGAAGUCUUGAUAUGUAAGCUAGUUUGUUGUUGUUAUUGUAUGUGUAAAUUUGCUAAUUUAGUGUUGCUAAUAAGAAAUUCAUUUUUUCUCUC